AGUUAACGUUGGCGGCGUGCCUAACACAUGCAAGUCGAACGCGCCGUAGCAAUACGGUGAGUGGCGAACGGGUGAGUAACACGUGGGUAAUCUUCCUUCAAGUGGGGAAUAAGCUCUCGAAAGGGAGUCUAAUACCGCAUGACGUUCCGGGACAUAAGUCCCGUAAUUAAAGCCGCAAGGCGCUUGAAGAUGAGCCUGCGUCCUAUUAGCUAGUUGGUAGGGUAACGGCCUACCAAGGCUGAGAUGGGUAGCCGGCCUGAGAGGGUGAACGGCCACACUGGAACUGAGACACGGUCCAGACUCCUACGGGAGGCAG
RNAcentral lists this ribosomal RNA (316 nucleotides) under uncultured Nitrospirota bacterium. RNAcentral's name for it is "bacterial SSU rRNA". It matches the Rfam family "Bacterial small subunit ribosomal RNA", at positions 29 to 351 of the family's 1533-position model. Lineage: Bacteria; Pseudomonadati; Nitrospirota. The record is from RNAcentral.